Non-coding RNA from Rattus norvegicus (Norway rat), 2443 nucleotides. NCBI's taxonomy places the organism in Eukaryota, Metazoa, Chordata, Mammalia, Rodentia, Muridae. The record is from RefSeq and is a predicted model, not a curated record.
UACAAAACCUUUUUUUUAUAUUUACAAAGGUCUGAAGGGCAGUCCACAUCGAAAAAAAAUCAUGUAGACCUUGUGCCAUUAGCCCAAGUAUAUAAAAAAAUUUCCAUGUCUUCUAAAGCAUCUUAACAUCAAUCUGGCUCUAGCACUCAUUCUGGUAAACAUUUACCAUCAGCCAUACAAUCCCCAGGACCAUCAAAAUCUAAUAAGGGGUAUCUAGAAACAUUGCCAUCUGGCAAAAGGUCUUUAGGAUGUUCAGCAUCUUCUCCAUGAGCUUGGUGAACCCACAGAACAAAAGAAUUAAACCAUCUUCCCAGGGGGUUUUCCCAAGAUCCACAUAUUUCUUCUUUACUUUUAUACCAAGACAGAAGGCCAGCUUCCUUCUCCCCAUCUCUGAUAUCUUCAUCCUCUUUGUUCUCCCUCCCAAAUGGCUGUUUACUCUGAACAGAAGGCUAAUUGCUAAAUCCUAGAGGUACUGAAGGAAUUUCUGAGGUGCAGUUGAAGACACGACAAUACUUGUGACAUCACAGAAGAAGCUAGGGCUCUCCAGGAUGUAAGAGAUUUUUCAGGGAGGGCCUAAUGAUGAUAUCACUGAGAAUUGCCAUGGACUACCUGCUGAACUGCUUUACUAACAUUGAGUAGAUUCAAGGGUGCACUUCACAGGAGUGUCUCCUGUGACACAGUGGAAAACUUUACAUACUUGAUCUCUAAAGCUAGGGAAUUCUCUUGGCUUCCUUAAUGAUUACAUGCUCUGAAUGGUGAAAGAUAGCUAGGGACUUGGCAUGGGUAGAAAAGAUUUAGGAACCUAGAGUGGAGGAAAUGAAUGUGGAUAAUAAUUUUAUUCCCAGGUCUAGUUCAAUUUUCUCAGAUUUAUCUGUUUCCCAAACACUAGGAUUUUCCCUAUAGUCCUGUAAUGGAAUGAAUAUUAUAUUAUAUUUUCUUAUUGUACAUUCCAUGAUAGGGGACUUUAUAAUAUUCCUGAAUGUGUACUCAAAAAUUCUUUUUUCCAAUUCCAUUUCUGCAAUGAUUUUUGGCAACAGAGGUGGCCCAAUUAUAGAAUGAGCAUAACAGUGUAAAUACUGUAUACAUACUUCAAUGACACACUCCCAAAUCCUUAUUUUAUCCAAAAAUUACCAGACAUCAAUAAAGGAAAGUACCACAUGGACUAUUUAAUUCGUUUCUCUAGUCCCACUUGAUAUCAGUUCCGCAAUAUCUACCUUCCUGUGUUUCAUUGCCAUACUUGAGGGUUUUGGAUAUUUUACCAUGAUUCAUUAUUAAAGUCAAACAUAAGAUAUAGGAGGAUGGAAAGCGAGAGGAAUGACUUGAGGACCAGUGAAGCCUCAAUAUAAGUAGUUUCAAAAGAACAGGAUGGAGUCUAAUUGGUGUUGCCAUUUGUUGAUUCUACAGUCUUGACCUAGAUGCGCAGAAUUCAUGUUAAAAUUCCAGCUAAAAUUAUAGCUGUAGGAGCCAACAAAAGUACAUAUAUAUACAUCAGCCACCGAAACUACACAAGAUUGAUGGAGGUAAGAAAUGCAUUCUGUCAGAUAUAGAUAUUUCCUGAGAGACACAGCUAGAUUAUACAAAUACAGAAGUGAAUGCUAGUGGCAUACCAGUAAACUGGAAAUGGACUUCUUGUUUUUAGAUUUUAAAAAAAGAUUACAAGAGCUGAAGGGCUUUAACACUACAAGAACAACAAUGCCAAUGAACCAGAGCUUUCUGAUACUAGAACAAUAUUCAAAGAAUGUACAUGGACAGAGCUAUGGCUCCAACUGCAUAUGUGGAAGAGAAUAGACUUGGUGGGCACCAAUGGAAGGAGAAGUCCUUGGUCCUCCCUAGGUUUGACUCCAAGUUCAAGGAACCAUAAGAACAGAGAAGUCCAGAUAAGAACAGAGACGUGCAAAUGCUUCUGAGAGUCUCCCAGCUCCUGAUUCCCUUAUGUGGAAGACUCAGAUCAAUGCUAUCUCUUCAGCGAUAUCACUCAAACCCUACAAAGGACUCACUGAACUUUCCAAAGGACCACAUAUUUCUUCCUUGUUUUUUAUACCAGGAAAGAAGAUCAGCUUUUUUCUCCCUAUUUCUAUUCUCUUCAUUGUCUUUGUUAUCACUCCCAAAUGUGCUCUGAAGUAGAGGCCUAUUAGUAAACCCUAGAAGUACUGAAAGAAUAUCUCAGAGGAAGUUGCAGUCACAACAACACUUGUGACAUCACAGAAGAAUCUAGUGCUCUCCAGGUUAGAAGAGAGUUUUCAGGGAAUGCCUAACAAUGAUGUCACUGAAAACUGUCAUGGCCUACCUGAUGAACACCUUUCCUUACAUUGACCAGAUUCAAGUUUGCACUUUAUAGGACCUUUUCUUCUUGCGAAAAAGUGUAAAGGUCAUGAGUUCUCAGGAAAACAACUGUGCCCUUCACAACACUUGGCUUUUGGAAUAAAGAAAUAAAUGAUAUAAA